RNAcentral lists this ribosomal RNA (458 nucleotides) under uncultured bacterium. RNAcentral's name for it is "partial 16S ribosomal RNA". It matches the Rfam family "Bacterial small subunit ribosomal RNA", at positions 338 to 795 of the family's 1533-position model. The record is from RNAcentral.
CCUACGGGAGGCAGCAGUGAGGAAUAUUGGUCAAUGGGCGAGAGCCUGAACCAGCCAAGUCGCGUGAGGGAGUACUGCCCUAUGGGUUGUAAACCUCUUUUGUCGGGGAGCAAAAGCCGGACGUGUCCGGCUGUGAGAGUACCCGAAGAAAAAGCAUCGGCUAACUCCGUGCCAGCAGCCGCGGUAAUACGGAGGAUGCGAGCGUUAUCCGGAUUUAUUGGGUUUAAAGGGUGCGGAGGCGGAUUUUUAAGUCAGCGGUAAAAUCGUGGGGCUCAACCCCAUCCAGCCGUUGAACCUGGGGAUCUAGAGUGUGCGAGAGGUAUGCGGAAUGCGUGGUGUAGCGGUGAAAUGCAUAGAUAUCACGCAGAACCCCGAUUGCGAAGGCAGCAUACCGGUGCACAACUGACGCUCAGGCACGAAAGCGUGGGUAUCGAACAGGAUUAGAUACCCCAGUAGUC